UUUGAUCUGCUCCCUGUCUAAUACAGAGAUGCCAAAUCUAUUAUGUCCGAUCUGCUCCCCGUCUAAUACAGAGAUGCCAAAUCUGUCAUCUUAGAUCUGCUUCGAUGUAAACACAUGAAGGUUAGAUCUGCUAUGUCUUCGAUCUGCUCCCCGUCUAAUAUAGAGAUGCCAAAUCAUCUUGGAUCUGCUUCAAUGAAGGUCCAAUCUGUUAUGUCUUCAAUCUGCUCCCCAUCUAAUACAGAGAUGCCAAAUCAUCUUGGAUCUGCUUCAAUGUAAACACAUGAAGGUCAG
RNAcentral lists this long non-coding RNA (291 nucleotides) under Gossypium barbadense (sea-island cotton). RNAcentral's name for it is "long non-coding RNA (GBAR_LNC008921)". Lineage: Eukaryota; Viridiplantae; Streptophyta; Magnoliopsida; Malvales; Malvaceae. The record is from RNAcentral.